GAUGAACGCUAGCUACAGGCUUAACACAUGCAAGUCGAGGGGUAACGAGAGGAAAGCUUGCUUUCCUUGUCGACGACCGGCGCACGGGUGAGUAACGCGUAUCCAACCUGCCCCCAACUAGGGAAUAACCUUGCGAAAGUAAGACUAAUACCCUAUAAUUUCCUCAGAUGUCAUCUAACGAGGAAUAAAGAUUUAUCGGUUGUGGAUGGGAUGCGUCUGAUUAGCUUGUUGGCGGGGUAACGGCCCACCAAGGCAACGAUCAGUAGGGGUUCUGAGAGGAAGGUCCCCCACAUUGGAACGGAGACACGGUCCAAACUCCUACGGGAGGCAGCAGUGAGGAAUAUUGGUCAAUGGGCGGAAGCCUGAACCGGCCAAGUAGCGUGCAGGAUGACGGCCCUAUGGGUUGUAAACUGCUUUUAUACAGGAAUAAAGUUAGCCACGUGUGGUUAUUUGUAGGUACUGUAUGAAUAAGGACCGGCUAAUUCCGUGCCAGCCGCCGCGGUAA
RNAcentral lists this ribosomal RNA (505 nucleotides) under uncultured bacterium. Its description in RNAcentral is "partial 16S ribosomal RNA". It matches the Rfam family "Bacterial small subunit ribosomal RNA", at positions 28 to 523 of the family's 1533-position model. The record is from RNAcentral.